GGUAACAUCAAAUCGUACCCCAAACCGACACAGGUGGUCAGGUAGAGAAUACCAAGGCGCUUGAGAGAACUCGGGUGAAGGAACUAGGCAAAAUGGUGCCGUAACUUCGGGAGAAGGCACGCUGACAUGUAGGUGAAGUGAUUUACUCACGGAGCUGAAGUCAGUCGAAGAUACCAGCUGGCUGCAACUGUUUAUUAAAAACACAGCACUGUGCAAACACGAAAGUGGACGUAUACGGUGUGACGCCUGCCCGGU
Molecule: ribosomal RNA, 255 nt
Filed under: Salmonella enterica
Lineage: Bacteria; Pseudomonadati; Pseudomonadota; Gammaproteobacteria; Enterobacterales; Enterobacteriaceae
Description: partial 23S ribosomal RNA
Rfam family: Bacterial large subunit ribosomal RNA
Source: RNAcentral